RNAcentral lists this long non-coding RNA (5205 nucleotides) under Coffea arabica (coffee). RNAcentral's name for it is "long non-coding RNA (CARA_LNC002694)". Lineage: Eukaryota; Viridiplantae; Streptophyta; Magnoliopsida; Gentianales; Rubiaceae. The record is from RNAcentral.
GUAUUGGAAAUGGAAGCAAAAGUGACCAAAUGAGGUGAAAAAGGCGAAAUUUGAUCAAGGAACUCAAACCCUCAAUUUGAGUAAUUGUUGUUUUUGAUUUGUUAGAAGGGGUUAAAAUGCAUAUUUUGAUCAUUUUACAUGUGCAUGCAUUGAGAAUUUUAGCAAACAAAUGAUCUAUGAUGCAUUUUGAGUGAUUGGGGUACAAAUGGUAAUUUUUCAAAAUUGGCUUUCUGCAAAAAUUUCGCAGAAGAAAACGCACUUGGGCUGAAAACGCGCCUUAGAAUCGCGUUUUCCAUAAUCGCGUUUUAAAUUCUGCGCCUAUACUGAAGAAAACGCGACUUAAAAACGCGACAGGAAGUCGCGUUUUCUACAAAGUCGCGUUUUCCAGCCUGUUCAGAAACCAAAAACGCGACUUUAAAUAUGCGACUCAAAGUCGCGUUUUUAAGCAUAGUCGCGUUUUCGAUCCUGCAAGAUAUGUGAAGAAACGCGACUUCAUAAAACGCGGCUUGGUGGCGCGUUUUGAUGAGUCGCGUUUUUGAAAAAAAAAUGCAGAUUCCUUGAUUCUCUUUUUUCUUCUUUUCCUCAUAUAUAUUUUCUUGUACCUUGAGUUACUUAUUGUGUAUUUUUUUUAGGUACAUCACGAAAACAAAGGAUUGAAGUUACGGAUCAUCAUUUUGUUUAUUAAACCUUUGUUAUCACUUUUGUUUCUCAUUUUUCAUUUUUUAGGAUUACAUCACUAAUGGUUAUCCAAUGAAACUCAUGAAGCGUUGGAGAUACACGGACAAUGGAUUUUGAAGCUUCAUAUUCAAUCGCAACAAUAGGGGAGUAUUACCUUUCUUUAUCUUGAUUUUCCUUUUUACACAUUGAGGACAAUGUGUAUGUUAAGUGUGGGGGGAGAAUUGAGAUUAUAUAUAUUGUAUGUGAUUAACAAAAGAAAAAAGAAAAAAAAUAAAAAAUUCUUCUACUCCAAUGAUUCUUGUACUUAGUAACCGGGAGUCUUCAUCUACAAAUGUCGACUUUCGCGUAAAACGGUACUUGAAUUAAGAGUAUGCAAAGCAACUUGAGUAUGUGAAGUGUUGAGUAACCGGUGAUUUUCAUCUAAAAAUGUCGAUCCUCGCGUCAAAAGGCAUUCUCACGUCUUAAGUAAUAUUUAGAUAUGUAAUAUUAAUAAAUAUCUUUUUAAACAGAAUUAAAAGAUGAUCAUGAGUUUAGGAAGCAUUAUUAUUGACCAUAUGAGUUACUUACUUGUAAGAUUGGGUAAGGAUGAAAAAUUGAUUUGAAUUUGUUAUAAUAACGGUAUAAUUGGCUCUCCUUUACUUGAUAUUAUGAGUACUUGAACUUAAUUGAAUAAUUGCAUAAUGGUUAUUUACUUUGUUUUGAGGAAAUGAAGUUGAAAUGCUACAUAUGUUUAUUUUCAAAUUUUGGAUCAUUGUUGGUUUGUAUUUUUAUUGCUUGAGGACAAGCAAUGGUUCAAGUGUGGGGGUAUUUGAUAAGAAUAUAUUUUACGUAUUUUUUAGUGUGUUUUAUUAGUUAAUUUUGGUUUGAUUAUUUAGUUUUAUAACUAAAAUAACUAAGGUUUUGGUAAAAAACUACAUUUUAUGUUAAAGUGGCUAAACAUUGCAUUUUAUGGAUUUUUAUGGUAAAAACUUCAUAUUUUGUAGGUUUAAUGAUUCAAUCAUCAAAUGAAGUGCAUUGAGAAGAUAUUUGGAUGAUUGAAGAUAGAUUAAAGUGGGGAAAAUAAAAUAUGAAGUGUAAAAGGAAGAAAUGCAAUUUGAGGACAAAAAUCAAGAAAAGUCAGUUAUGACAACUCAGACAUAUUUUCGUAUUUUGACUAUAUCAGGAGCUACAAUGAUCGGAUCAAGGUGAUCUUGGUACCAUUUUGAAGCUAAGAGAUAUAUCUACAUUUGGUAUGAAGACAUCAAAGUCCAAUUCAUCCGUUUUCAUAGUCCAAAAGUUGAAAUACCGAAAUUCAACUCAGCUGUCCAAAGUGGAAAACAGAGUUCCGACCAGUGUUUAGUAUUUUGAUCAUAUCUCAGUCUACAAAGCUCCGAUUUGGAUGAUUCUUGAAGCAUUGGAAAGCUAACUCAAAGAUCUACAACUUUGGUGUUUUGUACAAAAGCCAGUUCGGCCUGCAUCAUGGAGAAAAUCGCAGUUUAAGUAAGGACAAAGUGAAAACGCGAGUGCACAAAACGAGAGUUGUAGACGCGUUUUGUAAAGGCGCGUUUUCUGGCCGAAAUUCUGCAAUUUGCUCAGUCAAUUCUCUUGUGUUCAUACCACUUUCCAGCUAUAAGUUGCAAGAGAAUUCGGUGCACAUGCUUCAGAAGACAAAAGGGCAGACAAGGUGGCUUAUUUUCAAGUCAAAAACAUUUGUUAUUGACUAUCCUAACAAAGUUGAGAUUUGGGAAUCAAAAUGUGGAAUUUGACUUGGAAAAAUGGAGCUCUUAAGCAGUUUAUAUGCAGAGACAUUUUGGGUGGUCUAAAAAGGGGGAAAUAUACGGGAGAAGCUUGAAGAGUGCAGAAAUGUAGUUCUUCCAUUUCCUUAGUGUAGGAUAGUGUAGUAAGUGUAGUUAAUCCAUUCUUGUAUAAUAGCUAGAUUAGGAUGAAGAUGGAGAUGAAGAAGGAGAAGUUGAAGCUCAAGUGACAUGGGUUAUCUCUACUCCAAUUCUUUAUCUUUUGUAUUGGAUUCUUAACUAUGGUUAUUAUGCAAGUUCUGGAAUUUAUGUCUAUUAUGUGUUUCUAAAGUUUAUGCCUUGGGUUUGGUUGAACUUUCUAUGAUUGUUAGUGUUUAUCAUUUGGCUAUUUAACUGCCAUAAUUUGAGCAAGUUAUUUAGCACUUUAGCUCUUUAAAUCAUGAUUAAUUUGGUACCAUUAAUUGUGAUUAUCUAAGGUGUUAUUUCUGCAAUGAAAAUUGAGAUUUAACAUUAGUUCAAGAAGUGCUAAACAUAGGGAGUACACUCACGAAAGUAGAGGUGCAUCUAUGUGGUUUUUAGUGAUUCAUUUCAUGUAAUUUCAUUGAAGAAAUGAACUUGUAGCUAAUUUCAUAACCAUGAGAAUAGGUAUGGAUUAGUUAUAAGUAUAAUUGAUUCACUACGAAAGUAGGAUUCAAAUGCAUAAGGAAAUUACACCAUAAUUAGCCUAGAUGUAGUACUUCAAUGAUCCAAAUAUAACACUUGCAUGAGUAGUUAGGGAUACCACAACCUAAGGAGCUUUUAUUUGUUAAUUUCUUGUAUAAGUGCAGUAGGUUAAAUUUCUUAUUAUUCAUUGAUAGUCUAAAUAAUAGAGAAGCUUUAGUAAUACCGGUAAUUGUUCACUUUCCCUGUGGGAUCGACCCGAUAUAUACCCUAAACUACUAGUUGAUCUGUAUACUUGCAGUGAACGGGUGUAAUUCGGUAUUUUUUAGCUUGCACGUAUGUAAAAUACCCGUCAAGUUUUUGGCGCCGUUGCCGGGGAAGAUUUGGCAAUAUCGGUGUGAAGAGCAACUUUAUUAAUUUAGACAAUUUUUCUUAUUUUUGUUGUUUUUGUUGUAUCUUGUGUGUUUUAUGUCAUUUUUUUGAGUCAAUUUUUAUUAUUAUUAUUAUUUUUUUUUUCUGUUUUAGUUUGUGUCUUGGAAUCUAUCCUUCUUAACUGAUCUUACUUUUGAGAUUGUUUAAAAGUAAUUUUAGAUAAUGAGGAGGGUAGGUGAAUUGGGAGGACAAAGCUUGAGAAAUGAAAGAUUGGCAAUGGAUGGUUACCAAGUGCAAAACUCCUUCAACAGAGGUAACCAAGAAAUUACUGAAGGUAUGUCUUUUGAAGAUGGUUUGAAGUGCUUAAAGGCAAAAUUUGAUGUUAUGAUGGACACAAUUAUGCAUGAAAUUGAGCAAGGGAGGAAUGUUAAUGAUUUUAAUUCUUAUCAUGUGAUUUGUGACUUGUGUGGAGGUUAUCAUGCUACUAAUACAUGUAUGCAAGCACAAAAUGUGGAUUAUUAUGAUGAAUUAGAGCAUUACAAUCCUUGUUUUGAUCAAUAUAGUGCUAAUUGGAACAAUUCUCCUGUGUGUGGUUGGGAUAAUCAAUGUACUUAUAAUAAUUCCUCAUAUUUUUACGAUUACCAACCUGAAUGUAUCCAAUAUGAAUCAAAACCAUCUUGGGAGUUGGCAAUUGAAAUGGUAGCUAAUGAUUCUAAGCCAUCUUGGGAGUUAGCUUUAGAAAAAUUAGCUAAUGCAACUUCCAACCGUUUUGAUAGGGUUGAAGAAAGAAUAGAUGAACUGACUUCUCACUUUAGUAGAAUACAAGAGAAAUUGAAUGCAUUGUGUGAAGUUAUUUCCUCUAAAAAUUUGCAAAAUGAUCCUAGCAUGAAUGGUAGGAAUGUUGUAUGUGAAAAUGGAUUUCAUUUGGAUGAAAAUGAUGAAUUUCAAUUGUGUUUUAAUGAGCAAAUAUCCAUUUCACAUGAUAAUAUCUUUGGAACUAACCUUGAACCUCAAGAGGUGAGUUUUAAUGACUCAUUUUUCACCCCUCUUGAGGAAUGCAUUGAAAGUGUAGGUUCUAAGGGUAUUGCUGCCCAGGAUACUCUCAUGACAUUUCCGUUGGUAAGUUCUCAAGUGGUGCAUAUUCAAGGUAAUAUUUAUGAAACACUUGGGAUAGGUAAGUCAAUUCCAUUUCUCCUAUCAUUAGAUCAUGUGACUUUUGCUAUAAAGUCACCAUUUAAUGAUCCACCACGACCAAAAAUGGUGGAUUAUUCGUUAACUAAGCCUCCUUGAAAAAUGAGGUGAAAUAGUCAAGCUAUUGACUUUAAAGAAGCGCUUAUUGGGAGGCAACCCAAUGUUUGUUUAAGUUUAUGUUAUUUUGGGGUGAUUUUAUGUUUAAAGUAUAUGUUUGAGUUAUUUUGUUAUUUUUCAUUUGUAGGUAUUGGAAAUGGAAGCAAAAGUGACCAAAUGAGGUGAAAAAGGCGAAAUUUGAUCAAGGAACUCAAACCCUCAAUUUGAGUAAUUGUUGUUUUUGAUUUGUUAGAAGGGGUUAAAAUGCAUAUUUUGAUCAUUUUACAUGUGCAUGCAUUGAGAAUUUUAGCAAACAAAUGAUCUAUGAUGCAUUUUGAGUGAUUGGGGUACAAAUGGUAAUUUUUCAAAAUUGGCUUUCUGCAAAAAUUUCGCAGAAGAAAACGCACUUGGGCUGAAAACGCGCCUUAGAAUCGCGUUUUCCAUAAUCGCGUUUUAAAUUCUGCGCCUAUACUGA